This 689-nucleotide ribosomal RNA is filed under the name Latilactobacillus graminis. Its description in RNAcentral is "bacterial SSU rRNA". It matches the Rfam family "Bacterial small subunit ribosomal RNA", at positions 53 to 718 of the family's 1533-position model. The record is from RNAcentral. Lineage: Bacteria; Bacillati; Bacillota; Bacilli; Lactobacillales; Lactobacillaceae.
GCACUCUCGUUAGAUUGAAGAAGCUUGCUUCUGAUUGAUAACAUUUGAGUGAGUGGCGGACGGGUGAGUAACACGUGGGUAACCUGCCCUAAAGUGGGGGAUAACAUUUGGAAACAGAUGCUAAUACCGCAUAAAACCUAGCACCGCAUGGUGCAAGGUUGAAAGAUGGUUUCGGCUAUCACUUUAGGAUGGACCCGCGGUGCAUUAGUUAGUUGGUGAGGUAAAGGCUCACCAAGACCGUGAUGCAUAGCCGACCUGAGAGGGUAAUCGGCCACACUGGGACUGAGACACGGCCCAGACUCCUACGGGAGGCAGCAGUAGGGAAUCUUCCACAAUGGACGAAAGUCUGAUGGAGCAACGCCGCGUGAGUGAAGAAGGUUUUCGGAUCGUAAAACUCUGUUGUUGGAGAAGAACGUAUUUGAUAGUAACUGAUCAGGUAGUGACGGUAUCCAACCAGAAAGCCACGGCUAACUACGUGCCAGCAGCCGCGGUAAUACGUAGGUGGCAAGCGUUGUCCGGAUUUAUUGGGCGUAAAGCGAGCGCAGGCGGUUUCUUAAGUCUGAUGUGAAAGCCUUCGGCUCAACCGAAGAAGUGCAUCGGAAACUGGGAAACUUGAGUGCAGAAGAGGACAGUGGAACUCCAUGUGUAGCGGUGAAAUGCGUAGAUAUAUGGAAGAACACCAGUGGCGA